Molecule: long non-coding RNA, 451 nt
Filed under: Homo sapiens (human)
Lineage: Eukaryota; Metazoa; Chordata; Mammalia; Primates; Hominidae
Description: HSALNT0122797
Source: RNAcentral
GUAAGCAGACAGUUCACCCCUGAUGAUUUACAGCUGCCAAGGGAACUAGGAGUGUAAAAACCAUCAUGUACAACUCAACAAUUUAUUGAAACAUAAACUCUGCCUGAAUAAAGAAAUAGGACAUCACCAGCACUCUCAAGACUAUCCUCUCCCUCACCUAAAGGCUGAGAACAUAGAGUCCCAAUACUGUGUACAAAUGUUACUUGGAUUAGUUGUUGCUAAUAAAGCAUGCACUGCUGCCCGUCCUUAUAUAGAAGGCUAUCAUCGCAGAUAAUGACUACCAAGGUAAUUGGACCUGUCACACCUUGCAGCCUGGUUUCCAGCUUAUGGGAGAAAGGUUUGCAUCCCAGAGCUGAAGAAAUGGGUUCGCGUUCAAUGAGAUGAAGCCAUUUUGAAAAGGUUGUCCACGUAAUAUAUCUCUUAUAAUAAACCCAACUUCUGUCUUUUCCAC